Molecule: ribosomal RNA, 500 nt
Filed under: uncultured bacterium
Lineage: Bacteria
Description: partial 16S ribosomal RNA
Rfam family: Bacterial small subunit ribosomal RNA
Source: RNAcentral
AUUGAACGCUGGCGGCAUGCCUUACACAUGCAAGUCGAACGGCAGCACGGGAGCAAUCCUGGUGGCGAGUGGCGAACGGGUGAGUAAUAUAUCGGAACGUGCCCAGUCGUGGGGGAUAACGCAGCGAAAGCUGUGCUAAUACCGCAUACGAUCUACGGAUGAAAGCGGGGGACCGCGAGACCUCGCGCGAUUGGAGCGGCCGAUAUCAGAUUAGCUAGUUGGUGAGGUAAAGGCUCACCAAGGCGACGAUCUGUAGCUGGUCUGAGAGGACGACCAGCCACACUGGAAAGGAGACGCGGUCCAGACUCCUACGGGAGGCAGCAGUGGGAAAUUUUGGACAAUGGGCGAAAGCCUGAUCCAGCAAUGCCGCGUGCAGGAUGAAGGCCUUCGGGUUGUAAACUGCUUUUGUACGGAACGAAACGGUGAGCUCUAAUACAGUUUGCUAAUGACGGUACCGUAAGAAUAAGCACCGGCUAACUACGUGCCAGCCGCCGCAGUAA